Molecule: ribosomal RNA, 745 nt
Filed under: Clostridium arbusti SL206
Lineage: Bacteria; Bacillati; Bacillota; Clostridia; Eubacteriales; Clostridiaceae
Description: bacterial SSU rRNA
Rfam family: Bacterial small subunit ribosomal RNA
Source: RNAcentral
GGACCCGCGGCGCAUUAGCUAGUUGGAGAGGUAACGGCUCACCAAGGCAACGAUGCGUAGCCGACCUGAGAGGGUGAUCGGCCACAUUGGAACUGAGACACGGUCCAGACUCCUACGGGAGGCAGCAGUGGGGAAUAUUGCACAAUGGGCGAAAGCCUGAUGCAGCAACGCCGCGUGAGUGAUGACGGUCUUCGGAUUGUAAAGCUCUGUCUUUUGGGACGAUAAUGACGGUACCAAAGGAGGAAGCCACGGCUAACUACGUGCCAGCAGCCGCGGUAAUACGUAGGUGGCAAGCGUUGUCCGGAUUUACUGGGCGUAAAGGAUGUGUAGGCGGACAUUUAAGUGAGAUGUGAAAGCCCCGAGCUCAACUUGGGGACUGCAUUUCAAACUGGGUGUCUAGAGUGCAGGAGAGGAAAGCGGAAUUCCUAGUGUAGCGGUGAAAUGCGUAGAGAUUAGGAAGAACAUCAGUGGCGAAGGCGGCUUUCUGGACUGUAACUGACGCUGAGGCAUGAAAGCGUGGGGAGCAAACAGGAUUAGAUACCCUGGUAGUCCACGCCGUAAACGAUGAGUACUAGGUGUAGGAGGUAUCGACUCCUUCUGUGCCGCAGUUAACACAAUAAGUACUCCGCCUGGGAAGUACGGUCGCAAGUAUUAAAACUCAAAGGAAUUGACGGGGGCCCGACACAACGCAGCGGAGCAUGUGGUUUUAAUUCGAAGCUAACGCGAAGAACCUUAUACUACGUGU